CAUAGUUUAUGGUUAAGACUACGACGGUAUCUGAUCGUCUUCGAUCCCCUAACUUUCGUUCUUGAUUAAUGAAAACAUCCUUGGCAAAUGCUUUCGCAGUAGUUAGUCUUCAAUAAAUCCAAGAAUUUCACCUCUGACAAUUGAAUACUAAUGCCCCCAACUAUCCCUAUUAAUCAUUACGUCAAUCCUAGAAACCAACAAAAUAGGAUCAACGUCCUAUUUCAUUAUUCCAUGCUAAUGUAUUCAAGCGCGAGCCUGCUUUAAACACUCUAAUUUUUUCAAAGUAACAGUCCUGAUUCCCCACCACACCAAAUUAAUGACAUGAUGGUUCGUCAGAAGGUAGGAACCAGUAACACCAGUACGUACCUAAGGCACGACCGACGUACUAAUCCCGAAAUUCAACUACGAGCUUUUUAACUGCAACAACUUUAAUAUACGCUA
RNAcentral lists this ribosomal RNA (441 nucleotides) under uncultured Glomus. RNAcentral's name for it is "partial 18S ribosomal RNA". The record is from RNAcentral. Lineage: Eukaryota; Fungi; Glomeromycota; Glomeromycetes; Glomerales; Glomeraceae.